Molecule: ribosomal RNA, 120 nt
Filed under: uncultured bacterium
Lineage: Bacteria
Description: partial 16S ribosomal RNA
Rfam family: Bacterial small subunit ribosomal RNA
Source: RNAcentral
CACGCUGUAAACGAUGAAUACUAGGUGUUGGGUUUUUAACUCAGUGCCGCAGCUAACGCAUUAAGUAUUCCACCUGGGAAGUACGAUCGCAAGGUUGAAACUCAAAGGAAUUGACGGGGG